ACUACUAGAUUCGCGAUUAGCGCUUCAAAAGCGGCCCGAAAAAAUAAAUAAGACCACAAAUAAAUUUGUGGUCUUAUUUCAAAUUAGUAUGGUCCAAUCAUAGCCAACACUAAGACGUCAAAACGCUGCAAUGCGCGUUCAAAAACUGAGUAAAAAACCACCGUAACACCAAGGUUUUGGAAGGAAUAUCUUUUUUUGAUUUCCUAGUAGCCCCUUGUCGCUGUGCACAAUGGAUAUAUAUUGUCGCGAAAGAAAGAGGAGAAGAAAUAUAGAACUCUUAUAAAAAUUCUAGAAUUGUUCAAUGGUGGUGGCAAAUCAAUGCAAAAAAGUAUUAAAAAAACUUUAUAUGUAUGUGUAAAUAUUUUAAGCGUAUAUGCUGAAAAGGAUUUGUUUUCUGGGGGAAACGAACACAGCCAUAAAAUAAGCCUAAAUUAAACUGAUUAUAGAAAAAUUCAUUGAUAUAAGAUUACAUUAUAUUAGUAAAAAAGAAACCGCUCAUAUAAAAAUGACUUCUAAAAGACAGCUUUAUAACAAACUGAAUCUGUUUAAAGUUAAUUAAACCUACAUUAUUGUUUUAAUUACUUCUGUAUAAAGAAUACGUGGAAAACA
This is a long non-coding RNA of Bombyx mori (domestic silkworm), 609 nucleotides long. RefSeq lists it as uncharacterized. The transcript has 2 exons. Lineage: Eukaryota; Metazoa; Arthropoda; Insecta; Lepidoptera; Bombycidae. The record is from RefSeq and is a predicted model, not a curated record.